RNAcentral lists this ribosomal RNA (301 nucleotides) under uncultured bacterium. RNAcentral's name for it is "partial 16S ribosomal RNA". It matches the Rfam family "Bacterial small subunit ribosomal RNA", at positions 509 to 807 of the family's 1533-position model. The record is from RNAcentral.
CAGUAGCCGCGGUAACACGUAGGGUGCGAGCGUUAAUCGGAAUUACUGGGCGUAAAGCGUGCGCAGGCGGUUUUGUAAGACAGGCGUGAAAUCCCCGGGCUCAACCUGGGAAUGGCGCUUGUGACUGCAAAGCUAGAGUGCGGCAGAGGGGGAUGGAAUUCCGCGUGUAGCAGUGAAAUGCGUAGAUAUGCGGAGGAACACCGAUGGCGAAGGCAAUCCCCUGGGCCUGCACUGACGCUCAUGCACGAAAGCGUGGGGAGCAAACAGGAUUAGAUACCCCCGUAGUCCCUGUCUCUUAUAC